UGACUACUGUGUCCAGUACUCUAUG
Molecule: non-coding RNA, 25 nt
Filed under: Mus musculus (house mouse)
Lineage: Eukaryota; Metazoa; Chordata; Mammalia; Rodentia; Muridae
Source: RNAcentral